CAGUUGCUAAGCUGGAGUGCUCGGCACAGACGGAACAACCCCAUCAAAGAAGGAGAAUCGGAGAAUCGAGGCUUCCGCUUGCCUCCAAGUUUUCUGAGGAAUGAAGAACUAUGGUAUGUGCUGCCUGUCCUCAAGCAGCUUGUACUAUCAUGGAAUGGAAACAGUAUUAAAUGAAAGGACUAUACUGCAACGGAGGAAUAAAGAGGUGCAGUGACUCUUUGAAGGUCAUAUAACCAGCCAGCAGUGAAACCCGAAUGUACAUAAAGUCUACCCAGGAACCCCUGUACUACA
Tupaia belangeri chinensis (Chinese tree shrew) is the source of this 291-nucleotide long non-coding RNA. RefSeq lists it as uncharacterized. The transcript is spliced from 3 exons. The record is from RefSeq and is a predicted model, not a curated record. Lineage: Eukaryota; Metazoa; Chordata; Mammalia; Scandentia; Tupaiidae.